CACACAUCAUAAGCAAUAAACACGAUCUUCUUUUGAUGAAUAACACAGCCAAAAAAAAUGUGCGAGCCAUUCAUAUCUCAACGAUUUCUUAGUUCCUCGCCUAAAGAAGGUAAAAUGUAAUUUUCAACCGGUUUGAAAGCAUGUUCUUCUUGGACAAAAGAGAGAGUUGAAUAUAGAUUCAAGCCUGCUGUCCACAAUCAGGAAAGUAAGUGAAGUUUUAGUCUUCAACACAGAAGAAAUGGCUAAAAUGCAAAGACAAGAUCAACACUUACAAAACCAGAAUCUGGAUAGUCUCGUGAUAGUCUCGUCAAAGCAAAACCAAACGUGAUAAUUAGUUGUUCAAAUCCUCUGGUUGUAAAUAAAGGUGAUAAUGUGUCAGGUGUAUGUAGAGGUGAAGGAGGUAGCCCUCCUGCUAAUGUCACAUGGUUUGAUAAAGAUAACAACAUAAUUGGUGAUGUUGGAGUUGUAAGUAAGACAUUAGUAAUCACUAAUGUUACAGUGAAUGAUGGUGGAAAUUACACAUGUAAAGCACAAAGUUAUAAUGAUCCACGUUUUAGAGAUGAAAAAUCUAUUGAA
Molecule: long non-coding RNA, 576 nt
Organism: Xenia sp. Carnegie-2017
Lineage: Eukaryota; Metazoa; Cnidaria; Anthozoa; Malacalcyonacea; Xeniidae
Exons: 2
Source: RefSeq, a predicted model, not a curated record